RNAcentral lists this transfer RNA (73 nucleotides) under Mizuhopecten yessoensis (Yesso scallop). RNAcentral describes it as "tRNA-Tyr". It matches the Rfam family "tRNA". Rfam says of the family: Transfer RNA (tRNA) molecules are approximately 80 nucleotides in length. Lineage: Eukaryota; Metazoa; Mollusca; Bivalvia; Pectinida; Pectinidae. The record is from RNAcentral.
CCCGUGAUAGCUCAGUUGGUAGAGCGGAGGAGUGUAAAUCCUUAGGUCGCUGGUUCAACUCCGGCUCGCGGGA